GGGUGAUAGUCCCGUACACCAAAAUGCACAGGCUGUGAACUCGAAGAGUAGGGCGGGACACGUGGUAUCCUGUCUGAAUAUGGGGGGACCAUCCUCCAAGGCUAAAUACUCCUGACUGACCGAUAGUGAACCAGUACCGUGAGGGAAAGGCGAAAAGAACCCCGGCGAGGGGAGUGAAAAAGAACCUGAAACCGUGUACGUACAAGCAGUGGGAGCACCUUCGGGUGUGACUGCGUACCUUUUGUAUAAUGGGUCAGCGACUUAUAUUCUGUAGCAAGGUUAACCGUAUAGGGGAGCCGCAGGGAAACCGAGUCUUAACUGGGCGUUAAGUUGCAGGGUAUAGACCCGAAACCCGGUGAUCUAGCCAUGGGCAGGUUGAAGGUUGGGUAACACUAACUGGAGGACCGAACCGACUAAUGUUGAAAAAUUAGCGGAUGACUUGUGGCUGGGGGUGAAAGGCCAAUCAAACCGGGAGAUAGCUGGUUCUCCCCGAAAGCUAUUUAGGUAGCGCCUCGUGAACUCAUCUUCGGGGGUAGAGCACUGUUUCGGCUAGGGGGUCAUCCCGACUUACCAACCCGAUGCAAACUACGAAUACCGAAGAAUGUUAUCACGGGAGACACACGGCGGGUGCUAACGUCCGUCGUGAAGAGGGAAACAACCCAGACCGCCAGCUAAGGUCCCAAAGUCAUGGUUAAGUGGGAAACGAUGUGGGAAGGCACAGACAGCCAGGAUGUUGGCUUAGAAGCAGCCAUCAUUUAAAGAAAGCGUAAUAGCUCACUGGUCGAGUCGGCCUGCGCGGAAGAUGUAACGGGGCUAAACCAUGCACCGAAGCUGCGGCAGCGACACUAUGUGUUGUUGGGUAGGGGAGCG
This 870-nucleotide ribosomal RNA is filed under the name Klebsiella pneumoniae. RNAcentral's name for it is "partial 23S ribosomal RNA". It matches the Rfam family "Bacterial large subunit ribosomal RNA", at positions 362 to 1238 of the family's 2925-position model. The record is from RNAcentral. Lineage: Bacteria; Pseudomonadati; Pseudomonadota; Gammaproteobacteria; Enterobacterales; Enterobacteriaceae.